Molecule: ribosomal RNA, 392 nt
Filed under: uncultured microorganism
Description: partial 16S ribosomal RNA
Source: RNAcentral
GAGUUUGAUCUUGGCUCAGGGUGGUAGGAACAUUGAGGCUGGGGCCGCCUGAGGCUUUGGCAUGAGGCUGGGGGGCUGAGGAGAGAUGUGAAACAGUUACACCGGGGGUGAAGGUGUCAGAGAGGCCUCUCAGUUUCAGCUUGAGUCGGCAGGCAGGCCAUGGUGGUGGCUGGUGGGGAAGUCACCACUGCCCCAGGCCAGAGAGGAUUGCCUCUGAGCCAGGGAUGUCCAGGGCUGCCUCUGAGAGAGGUACGGGUGGGAGUGGACACGGGCAGGUCAACCACUGUCCCUGCCCCAUGACCCCGACACAGGUCAGAUGACCCAGAUGUGGGGGCCAGGGCAGGAGCAGUUGAGGGGCCAGGCUAUCAGCUGAGUCGAAAGUUGGGACCCCA